Molecule: ribosomal RNA, 292 nt
Filed under: uncultured bacterium
Lineage: Bacteria
Description: partial 16S ribosomal RNA
Rfam family: Bacterial small subunit ribosomal RNA
Source: RNAcentral
GUGCCAGCCGCCGCGGUAAUACAGAGGUCUCAAGCGUUGUUCGGAAUCACUGGGCGUAAAGGGUGCGUAGGUGGCGAGGUAAGUCAGAUGUGAAAGCCCGGGGCUCAACCUCGGAAUUGCAUCCGAUACUGCCCUGCUUGAGUACUGAAGGGGUGACUAGAAUUCUCGGUGUAGCAGUGAAAUGCGUAGAUAUCGAGAGGAAUACCAAAGGCGUAGGCAGGUCACUGGGCAGUUACUGACACUGAGGCACGAAGGCCAGGGGAGCGAACGGGAUUAGAAACCCGCGUAGUCC